Long non-coding RNA from Meriones unguiculatus (Mongolian gerbil), 407 nucleotides. RefSeq lists it as uncharacterized. Lineage: Eukaryota; Metazoa; Chordata; Mammalia; Rodentia; Muridae. The record is from RefSeq and is a predicted model, not a curated record. The transcript has 3 exons.
CCUGGACAGGCAGCAGCCACUCUGUCUUCUCAGGCCCUCAGCACUAAGCACAGUGCUGCACAGGGCAGCCCUCAGCUCCCCGACAGAACAGUGAGCCUGUUUUGUUUUCUUGGCUUUUCAUCCAAUUCAAAUCUCUCCUUUCUACAACUGACCGAUCCAGAAAUUGGUUGCCGAGCAAAAAGGAGAUGUGUACAGAAACAUCUACUUGGGAAUUCAGAGUGUGGAGAGCUGACCUCUGAGUGCUCAACCUUCAACUGCCAAGCAGAAAGCCCCCUCUGUCACAGGCCCACAGAUCUCUGCCGCCAUGGCACUCAAGCCCUGUCAGGUGGUGCGGUGUGGACAGCCGGCUGACGCUGUUUCAAAGAAGCCGACCAGGCAAGAAACGUCCUGUACUCCUGCCCCGGCUC